RNAcentral lists this ribosomal RNA (497 nucleotides) under uncultured bacterium. RNAcentral describes it as "partial 16S ribosomal RNA". It matches the Rfam family "Bacterial small subunit ribosomal RNA", at positions 28 to 507 of the family's 1533-position model. The record is from RNAcentral.
GAUGAACGCUGGCGGCGUGCCUAAUACAUGCAAGUCGAGCGAACAGACGAGGAGCUUGCUCCUUUGACGUUAGCGGCGGACGGGUGAGUAACACGUGGGUAACCUACCUAUAAGACUGGGAUAACUUCGGGAAACCGGAGCUAAUACCGGAUAAUAUUUCGAACCGCAUGGUUCGAUAGUGAAAGAUGGCUUUGCUAUCACUUAUAGAUGGACCUGCGCCGUAUUAGCUAGUUGGUAAGGUGACGGCUUACCAAGGCAACGAUACGUAGCCGACCUGAGAGGGUGAUCGGCCGCACUGGAACUGAGACACGGUCCAGACUCCUACGGGAGGCAGCAGUAGGGAAUCUUCCGCAAUGGGCGAAAGCCUGACGGAGCAACGCCGCGUGAGUGAUGAAGGUCUUCGGAUCGUAAAACUCUGUUAUUAGGGAAGAACAAACGUGUAAGUAACUGUGCACGUCUUGACGGUACCUAAUCAGAAAGCCACGGCUAACUACGUG